Molecule: ribosomal RNA, 505 nt
Filed under: uncultured bacterium
Lineage: Bacteria
Description: partial 16S ribosomal RNA
Rfam family: Bacterial small subunit ribosomal RNA
Source: RNAcentral
GACGAACGCUGGCGGCGUGCCUAAUACAUGCAAGUAGAACGCACAGUUUAUACCGUAGCUUGCUACACCAUAGACUGUGAGUUGCGAACGGGUGAGUAACGCGUAGGUAACCUGCCUGGUAGCGGGGGAUAACUAUUGGAAACGAUAGCUAAUACCGCAUAAUAUUAAUUAUUGCAUGAUAAUUAAUUGAAAGGUGCAAUUGCACCACUACCAGCUGGACCUGCGUUGUAUUAGCUAGUAGGUGAGGUAACGGCUCACCUAGGCGACGAUACAUAGUCGACCUGAGAGGGUGAUCGGCCACACUGGGACUGAGACACGGCCCAGACUCCUACGGGAGGCAGCAGUAGGGAAUCUUCGGCAAUGGACGAAAGUCUGACCGAGCAACGCCGCGUGAGGGAAGAAGGUUUUCGGAUCGUAAAGCUCUGUUGUAAGAGAAGAACGGGUGUGAGAGUGGAAAGUUCACACUGUGACGGUAUCUUACCAGAAAGGGACGGCUAACUACGUG